CCGCGAACGGGUGAGUAACACGUGGGUUACCUGCCUCGAUGACCGGGACAACCCGAGGAAACUCGGGCUAAUACCGGAUGUGCCCGCAAGGGGAAAGGAAGCUUCGGCCUCCGCAUUGAGAUGGGCCCGCGGCCCAUUAGCUUGUUGGUGAGGUAACGGCUCACCAAGGCUUCGAUGGGUAGCUGGUCUGAGAGGACGAUCAGCCACACUGGGAUUGAGAACGGCCCAG
RNAcentral lists this ribosomal RNA (229 nucleotides) under uncultured bacterium. RNAcentral describes it as "partial 16S ribosomal RNA". It matches the Rfam family "Bacterial small subunit ribosomal RNA", at positions 96 to 334 of the family's 1533-position model. The record is from RNAcentral.